RNAcentral lists this ribosomal RNA (399 nucleotides) under uncultured bacterium. Its description in RNAcentral is "partial 16S ribosomal RNA". It matches the Rfam family "Bacterial small subunit ribosomal RNA", at positions 338 to 734 of the family's 1533-position model. The record is from RNAcentral.
CCUACGGGUGGCAGCAGUGAGGAAUAUUGGUCAAUGGGCGCAAGCCUGAACCAGCCACGUCGCGUGAAGGAUGACUGCCCUACGGGUUGUAAACUUCUUUUAUAAAGGAAUAAAUUGAGGCACGUGUACCUUUUUGUAUGUACUUUAUGGAUAAGGAACGGCUAACUCCGUGCCAGCAGCCGCGGUAAUACGGAGGAUCCGAGCGUUAUCCGGAUUUAUUGGGUGUAAAGGGAGCGUAGAUGGGUUGUUAAGUCAGAUGUGAAAGUUUGCGGCUCAACCGUAAAAUUGCAAUUGAUACUGGCAGCCUAGAGUAUAGUAGAGGUAGGUGGAAUUCGUGGUGUAGCGGUGAAAUGCGUAGAGAUCACGAAGAAUACCGAUUGCGAAGGCAGCUUACUAGAC